UACGUAGGGUGCGAGCGUUAAUCGGAUUUACUGGGCGUAAAGGGUGCGUAGGCGGCCGCGUGUGUCUGGCGUCAAAUCCCACGGCUUAACCGUGGGAAUGCGCUGGAAACUACGUGGCUUGGGUGCGGCAGAGGCAGACGGAACUGCUGGUGUAGGGGUGAAAUCCGUAGAUAUCAGCAGGAACGCCGGUGGAGAAGUCGGCGUGCUGGGCCGUAACAGACGCUGAGGCACGAAAGCUAGGGGAGCGAACCGG
This 253-nucleotide ribosomal RNA is filed under the name uncultured microorganism. Its description in RNAcentral is "partial 16S ribosomal RNA". It matches the Rfam family "Bacterial small subunit ribosomal RNA", at positions 524 to 776 of the family's 1533-position model. The record is from RNAcentral.